Non-coding RNA from Phthorimaea operculella (potato tuberworm), 72 nucleotides. NCBI's taxonomy places the organism in Eukaryota, Metazoa, Arthropoda, Insecta, Lepidoptera, Gelechiidae. The record is from the annotation of a GenBank genome assembly.
GCAUCGAUAGCUCAGUGGCAGAGUGGUGGGGUGUUAACAAAUGCGGCCCGGGUCCGAGCCUCGGUCGAUGUA